This 73-nucleotide transfer RNA is filed under the name Apaloderma vittatum (bar-tailed trogon). It matches the Rfam family "tRNA". Rfam says of the family: Transfer RNA (tRNA) molecules are approximately 80 nucleotides in length. Their secondary structure includes four short double-helical elements and three loops (D, anti-codon, and T loops). The record is from Rfam by way of RNAcentral. Lineage: Eukaryota; Metazoa; Chordata; Aves; Trogoniformes; Trogonidae.
GGCUGGUUAGCUUUAUCAGUUAGAGCAUGGUGCUGAUAACACCAAGGUCACGGGUUUGAUCCCUGUUCGGUCC